UGGUUGAUCCUGCCAGAGGUCACUGUUAUCGCGGUUCGACUAAGCCAUGCGAGGCGCGAGUCAUCUGGACUCGCCGCACUGCUCAGUAACACGUGGUUAACUUACUCUUAGUAAAGGGAUAAUCCUGGGAAACUGGGGCUAAUACCUUAUAGUUGUCAGAUGCUGGUAUGCGUUGACAAUCAAAGCUCCGGCGGCUAAGAAUAGGACUGCGGCCUAUCAUGGCAGUUGUGAGUAUAAGAUACUCACAAACCUAUAACGGGUAGGGGCCAUGAGAGUGGAAGCCUCGAGAUGCAUUCUGAGACAUGAAUGCAGGCCCUACGGGACGCAGCAGGCGCGAAAGCUUUCCGAUGCCUUAACGGGUGAGAGGGGAACCCUGAGUGGCUAUGCAAUGCAUAGUCUUUUGCUUUGUCUAAAUAGCAAGGCGAAUAAGUGGUGAGUAAGACGGGUGGCAGCCGCCGCGGUAAUACCCGCGCCACGAAUGGUGAUCGCGAUUAUUGGGUUUAAAGCGUCCGUAGCCGGCUUAGAAAGUUCCUGGUGAAAUCUGCUAGCAAACUAGCAAGCAUGCUGGGAAAACUUCUGGGCUCGGGAUUGGGAGAGGAUAGGGGUAUUCCGUGAGUAGGGGUUAAAUCCUUUAAUCCACGGAGGACCACCGGUGGCGAAGGCGCCUAUCUGGAACAAGUCCGACGGUGAGGGACGAAAGCUAGGGGAGCAAACGGGAUUAGAUACCCCGGUAGUCCUAGCUGUAAACGAUGCCCGUUUGAUGUUGCAGGCUCUACGGGAGCUUGCAGUGUCGGAGCGUAAGUGUUAAACGGGCCACCUGGGGAGUACGACCGCAAGGUUGAAACUUAAGGGAAUUGGCGGGAGAGCACACAAGAGGUGGAGGCUGCGGUUUAAUUGGAGUCAACGCCGAAAAUCUCACGAGGGUUGACAGCAGAAUGAAGGUCAGUUUAAAGGGCUUACCAGACAAGCUGAGAGGAGUUGCAUGGCCAUCGUCAGCUCGUACCUUGAGGCGUGCGGUUAAGUCCGUUAACGAGCGAGACCCACACUUUCAUUUACCACCGCAUUUUUAGACCAUCCGGUCAAAAGAAUGCGGGUACUAUGAAAGGACCGCUGGUGAUAAACCAGAGGAAGGAGUGGGCGACGGUUGGUCCGUAUGGCCCGAAUACCUUCGGCUACACGCGGCCUACAAUGGUUAGGACAAAGCGCUGCAACACCGAAAGGUGAAGCCAAUCGCCUAAACCUAACCUCAGUUCAGAUUGAGGGCUGUAACUCGCCCUCAUGAAGCCGGAAUCUCUAGUAAGCGAACGUCAUGAUCGUUUGCUGAAUGCGUCCCUGCUCUUUGCACACACUGCCUGUCAAGCCAUGCGAGUGAACUCAUGGUGAGGCUUAACUUUAAUUAAGUCGAGCCAAGGAUUCGCGAGUGGGGCUAAGUCAUAACAAGGUA
Molecule: ribosomal RNA, 1444 nt
Filed under: metagenome
Description: bacterial SSU rRNA
Rfam family: Archaeal small subunit ribosomal RNA
Source: RNAcentral